This 253-nucleotide ribosomal RNA is filed under the name uncultured bacterium. Its description in RNAcentral is "partial 16S ribosomal RNA". It matches the Rfam family "Bacterial small subunit ribosomal RNA", at positions 524 to 776 of the family's 1533-position model. The record is from RNAcentral.
UACGUAGGGGGCAAGCGUUGUCCGGAAUCAUUGGGCGUAAAGAGCGUGUAGGCGGUCCGGUCAGUCGGUUGUGAAAGUCAAGGGCUCAACCCUUGAAUGCCGGCCGAUACUGCCGGGCUAGGGUCCGGAAGAGGUGAGUGGAAUUCCUGGUGUAGCGGUGAAAUGCGCAGAUAUCAGGAGGAACACCGAUGGCGAAGGCAGCUCACUGGGACGGUACUGACGCUGAGACGCGAAAGCGUGGGGAGCAAACAGG